UUCACGACGGCGAACGGCGUGGAAAACCUAGCGAGAAAUGCCGCAUGGCAUCGCCCUGAUUCGUCUUGGAGUGAGAUCGCUUUUCUACGUUCAGGAGAAAUUACUGAAAGAGAAAGAAAACGAGCGACUCAAAAAUAAGACGGAAACAGGAACGCCGUUUUUCGCAUCAAGUCAAUUAUGCGUCUGGACUUUGAAAUAACGGAUAUCAACAAGUUGUGACGGUCGUAAUUCGCGAGUUUCCAAGUGUCAGUUGAUGUCUGACUUUUAAGGACGAAGGAAAUAACGCAUUGUAAUAUUACGUACUUUCAAAAUUGCCAGUCGAUUUGGCUUCUGUUGUCACGAUUUUUCCACGGGAUGUUGGACUAUCCCGUAUGACAUUCACGUUGGUGGGAUAUGUGUGUUUUAGUAUGCCACUAAUGGCUUUUCAUCAUCUUAUGUUCUUGUGUGGAGACAAUAGGGAGAGAAACAACUAAGUACUAAGACAUUGGCAUUGCUGGCACAGAAGUCAAACCUGAAGUACUGAAGUGGUGCUCUAAAUCUGACUUCCUUCCUGAACAAGGCGGAUAUUUACGAUAGCAACACCUGAUUGGAUGGUUGAGAGAUACGUGGACUUCUGAUAGGUAAAAAAAUAUUCCUUUUAUGUUGUCGCGUCCAUACAGACAUGUCUCUGAACAUUCCAGAACACCGCUUGUAUCGACCAGAUGAAAUUCCAGCCUACAAUGUAAAACCAUGCCACGGACCAAAUCGGAAAAGAAAGGCUGAAAAAUGUUGACUGUUCUCUUCUGUUAUUCAGCUUUCGAAAGAAACGAUCGAAAAAUUGAAAUUUCGUGUUUUGGAGCGUAAUCAAUGGCUUUGUGCAGUGAGGUAGGGGGUCCCACGAUAGGAUCGAAGCUUGCCUCUCUCGUGAAUGUGCAGAGUUUAUAAUUAAACGCGUCGCAUCAUGCCCCAGUUCGUUUGUUCAUCUCGUGCUUUGAGGAUGCUGCUUGUCACUUCCACUGGAAACCAAAAUCUACGUAAAUCAGCAAAAUGAUCUGUGAUUGUUGGAAUUAUUUUCUCCACAAAAGCUACUAAGUUCAAAACGUGAAUACUGAACACUGUUCUUUUUGGAGUUUCCAGAAUCUGUGCAUUUCCAGGCUCUGUGCUUCUGGGUGAAAAGCAUCUGAUGUGUUCUGCUGCAGUGAAAUAUGACCAGGAAUUAUAUCGAAGCUGGCGUGUUGUGUAAGCGCUGUUGGUAGUUCUACUAUUUUCUGAAUUCCAUUCACCGCUUUGUGAAAUUCUUGAGGAGACAUUAUGAGUAAGAUGUACAAGCACGGAUCGGAACCUGACGGUUCCUCGCAGGCCAUGUUGGCGUUGUCUGGAGCAAAAGGCAGUGGUAGCGGAACCACGACACAAAACUACGGGAGUAAUGAUGGAGGAGGGGGAGAA
Long non-coding RNA from Aplysia californica (California sea hare), 1425 nucleotides. RefSeq lists it as uncharacterized. The transcript is spliced from 4 exons. The record is from RefSeq and is a predicted model, not a curated record. NCBI's taxonomy places the organism in Eukaryota, Metazoa, Mollusca, Gastropoda, Aplysiida, Aplysiidae.